RNAcentral lists this unclassified non-coding RNA (301 nucleotides) under Hevea brasiliensis (rubber tree). The record is from RNAcentral. Lineage: Eukaryota; Viridiplantae; Streptophyta; Magnoliopsida; Malpighiales; Euphorbiaceae.
GGGAAUAUGAGUGGUGGUGAAAGGGGAAAUAAUUAUGAUAAUUUUCCUAUUGGUAUGAGAGUUCUUGCUGUUGAUGAUGACCCUAUUUGUUUGAAGCUUUUGGAUGGUUUGCUCAGGAAAUGCCAGUAUCAGGUAACUACAACAAGUCAGGCAAGGAUGGCAUUGAAGAUGUUGAGGGAGAAUAGAGAUAGAUUUGAUUUGGUCAUCAGUGAUGUUCACAUGCCUGAUAUGGAUGGCUUUAAACUUCUUGAACUUGUUGGUCUUGAGAUGGAUCUUCCAGUCAUAAUGUUGUCUGCAAACA